This 497-nucleotide ribosomal RNA is filed under the name uncultured bacterium. Its description in RNAcentral is "partial 16S ribosomal RNA". It matches the Rfam family "Bacterial small subunit ribosomal RNA", at positions 28 to 507 of the family's 1533-position model. The record is from RNAcentral.
GAUGAACGCUGGCGGCGUGCCUAAUACAUGCAAGUCGAGCGAACGGACGAGAAGCUUGCUUCUCUGAUGUUAGCGGCGGACGGGUGAGUAACACGUGGAUAACCUACCUAUAAGACUGGGAUAACUUCGGGAAACCGUAGCUAAUACCGGAUAAUAUUUUGAACCGCAUGGUUCAAAAGUGAAAGACGGUCUUGCUGUCACUUCUAGAUGGAUCCGGGCUGCAUUAGCUAGUUGGUAAGGUAACGGCUUACCAAGGCGACGAUGCAUAGCCGACCUGAGAGGGUGAUAGGCCACACUGGAACUGAGACACGGUCCAGACUCCUAAGGGAGGCAGCAGUAGGGAAUCUUCCGCAAUGGGCGAAAGCCUGACGGAGCAACGCCGCGUGAGUGAUGAAGGUCUUCGGAUCGUAAAACUCUGUUAUUAGGGAAGAACAUAUGUGUAAGUAACUGUGCACAUCUUGACGGUACCUAAUCAGAAAGCCACGGCUAACUACGUG